AGAGCGAACGCUGGCGGCAGGCUUAACACAUGCAAGUCGAGCGGGCGUAGCAAUACGUCAGCGGCAGACGGGUGAGUAACGCGUGGGAACAUACCUUUUGGUUCGGAACAACACAGGGAAACUUGUGCUAAUACCGGAUAAGCCCUUACGGGGAAAGAUUUAUCGCCGAAAGAUUGGCCCGCGUCUGAUUAGCUAGUUGGUGAGGUAACGGCUCACCAAGGCGACGAUCAGUAGCUGGUCUGAGAGGAUGAUCAGCCACAUUGGGACUGAGACACGGCCCAAACUCCUACGGGAGGCAGCAGUGGGGAAUAUUGGACAAUGGGCGCAAGCCUGAUCCAGCCAUGCCGCGUGAGUGAUGAAGGCCCUAGGGUUGUAAAGCUCUUUUGUGCGGGAAGAUAAUGACGGUACCGCAAGAAUAAGCCCCGGCUAACUUCGUGCCAGCAGCCGC
RNAcentral lists this ribosomal RNA (448 nucleotides) under uncultured bacterium. RNAcentral describes it as "SSU rRNA". It matches the Rfam family "Bacterial small subunit ribosomal RNA", at positions 26 to 518 of the family's 1533-position model. The record is from RNAcentral.